RNAcentral lists this ribosomal RNA (728 nucleotides) under Clostridium perfringens. Its description in RNAcentral is "bacterial SSU rRNA". It matches the Rfam family "Bacterial small subunit ribosomal RNA", at positions 1 to 742 of the family's 1533-position model. The record is from RNAcentral. Lineage: Bacteria; Bacillati; Bacillota; Clostridia; Eubacteriales; Clostridiaceae.
UUUAAAUUGAGAGUUUGAUCCUGGCUCAGGAUGAACGCUGGCGGCGUGCUUAACACAUGCAAGUCGAGCGAUGAAGUUUCCUUCGGGAAAUGGAUUAGCGGCGGACGGGUGAGUAACACGUGGGUAACCUGCCUCAUAGAGUGGAAUAGCCUUCCGAAAGGAAGAUUAAUACCGCAUAAUGUUGAAAGAUGGCAUCAUCAUUUAACCAAAGGAGCAAUCCGCUAUGAGAUGGACCCGCGGCGCAUUAGCUAGUUGGUGGGGUAACGGCCUACCAAGGCGACGAUGCGUAGCCGACCUGAGAGGGUGAUCGGCCACAUUGGGACUGAGACACGGCCCAGACUCUUACGGGAGGCAGCAGUGGGGAAUAUUGCACAAUGGGGGAAACCCUGAUGCAGCAACGCCGCGUGAGUGAUGAAGGUUUUCGGAUCGUAAAGCUCUGUCUUUGGGGAAGAUAAUGACGGUACCCAAGGAGGAAGCCACGGCUAACUACGUGCCAGCAGCCGCGGUAAUACGGAGGUGGCGAGCGUUAUCCGGAUUUACUGGGCGUAAAGGGAGCGUAGGCGGAUGAUUAAGUGGGAUGUGAAAUACCCGGGCUCAACUUGGGUGCUGCAUUCCAAACUGGUUAUCUAGAGUGCAGGAGAGGAGAGUGGAAUUCCUAGUGUAGCGGUGAAAUGCGUAGAGAUUAGGAAGAACACCAGUGGCGAAGGCGACUCUCUGGACUGUAACUG